AGUACAAGGUGCCUUUUACAAAAGGAGAAUAGGGAAUGAAGUGAAAAUCUUCAGCGGACCCGCCACUGUAGAGGGGAGUUUGAUUGAAAAUGCCACUGGACAAUGUCUGGGAAGGUUCAAUCGAAUGUUGACCUUGAGCCAGGAGACCUGCCUUGAUACU
Molecule: non-coding RNA, 160 nt
Filed under: uncultured Rummeliibacillus sp.
Lineage: Bacteria; Bacillati; Bacillota; Bacilli; Caryophanales; Caryophanaceae
Source: RNAcentral